RNAcentral lists this transfer RNA (59 nucleotides) under Lygodactylus conradti (Matschie's dwarf gecko). RNAcentral describes it as "tRNA-Cys". Lineage: Eukaryota; Metazoa; Chordata; Lepidosauria; Squamata; Gekkonidae. The record is from RNAcentral.
GGAAGGUGAAACACAGCAGAUUGCAAAUUUGAAGAAGCACCCAGAAAGGUGCCCCGGCU